UACGGAGGGUGCGAGCGUUAAUCGGAAUUACUGGGCGUAAAGCGCACGUAGGCGGUCAGGCAAGUCGGGUGUGAAAGCCCUGGGCUCAACCUGGGAAUUGCAUUCGAAACUAUCUGACUCGAGUAUGGGAGAGGGAAGCGGAAUUUCCGGUGUAGCGGUGAAAUGCGUAGAUAUCGGAAGGAACACCAGUGGCGAGGGCGGCUUCCUGGACUAAUACUGACGCUGAGGUGCGAAAGCGUGGGGAGCAAACGGG
RNAcentral lists this ribosomal RNA (253 nucleotides) under uncultured bacterium. RNAcentral's name for it is "partial 16S ribosomal RNA". It matches the Rfam family "Bacterial small subunit ribosomal RNA", at positions 524 to 776 of the family's 1533-position model. The record is from RNAcentral.